This 450-nucleotide ribosomal RNA is filed under the name uncultured bacterium. RNAcentral's name for it is "partial 16S ribosomal RNA". It matches the Rfam family "Bacterial small subunit ribosomal RNA", at positions 354 to 796 of the family's 1533-position model. The record is from RNAcentral.
GUGGGGAAUCUUCCGCAAUGGACGAAAGUCUGACGGAGCAACGCCGCGUGAGUGAAGAAGGUUUUCGGAUCGUAAAGCUCUUUCGUUAGGGACGAACGUGCUCUUUGUGAAUAAUGAGGAGUAAUGACGGUACCUAAAUAAGAAGCCACGGCUAACUACGUGCCAGCAGCCGCGGUAAUACGUAGGUGGCAAGCGUUGUCCGGAAUUAUUGGGCGUAAGGCGCGCGCAGGCGGGAUAUCAAGUCUGUCUUAAAAGUGCGAGGCUCAACCUCGUGAGGGGACAGAAACUGGUAUUCUUGAGUGUCGGAGAGGAAAGUGGAAUUCCAAGUGUAGCGGUGAAAUGCGUAGAUAUUAGGAAGAACACCAGUGGCGAAGGCGACUUUCUGGACGAAAACUGACGCUGAGGCGCGAAAGCCAGGGGAGCGAACGGGAUUAGAUACCCCGGUAGUCC